Molecule: ribosomal RNA, 277 nt
Filed under: uncultured bacterium
Lineage: Bacteria
Description: partial 16S ribosomal RNA
Rfam family: Bacterial small subunit ribosomal RNA
Source: RNAcentral
AACGAACGCUGGCGGCAGGCCUAACACAUGCAAGUCGAGCGCCCCAGUAAUGGGGAGCGGCAGACGGGUGAGUAACGCGUGGGAACCUACCCAGUGGUACGGAACAGCUCAGGGAAACUUGGGGUAAUACCGUAUACGCCCGAAAGGGGAAAGAUUUAUCGCCAUUGGAUGGGCCCGCGUCGGAUUAGCUAGUUGGUGGGGUAACGGCCUACCAAGGCGACGAUCCGUAGCUGGUCUGAGAGGAUGAUCAGCCACACUGGGACUGAGACACGGCCCA